GACGAACGCUGGCGGCGUGCCUAAUACAUGCAAGUUGAACGCUUGAUUUUCACCGAAGCUUGCUUCACCGAAAAUCAAGAGUAGCGAACGGGUGAGUAACGCGUGGGUAACCUACCUAUCAGCGGGGGAUAACUAUUGGAAACGAUAGCUAAUACCGCAUAACAAUGUUGGAUGCAUAUUCGACAUUUGAAAGUACCAAUUGGUACACUGAGAGAUGGACCCGCGUUGUAUUAGCUAGUUGGUAGUGUAAUGGACUACCAAGGCGAUGAUACAUAGCCGACCUGAGAGGGUGAUCGGCCACAUUGGGACUGAGACACGGCCCAAACUCCUACGGGAGGCAGCAGUAGGGAAUCUUCGGCAAUGGACGAAAGUCUGACCGAGCAACGCCGCGUGAGUGAAGAAGGUUUUCGGAUCGUAAAACUCUGUUGUUAGAGAAGAAUGUUGCAUAGAGUGGAAAAUUAUGCAAGUGACGGUAUCUAACCAGAAAGGGACGGCUAACUACGUGCCAGCAGCCGCGGUAAUACGUAGGUCCCGAGCGUUGUCCGGAUUUAUUGGGCGUAAAGCGAGCGCAGGUGGUUUAAUAAGUCUGAUGUAAAAGGCAGUGGCUCAACCAUUGUGU
RNAcentral lists this ribosomal RNA (619 nucleotides) under uncultured bacterium. Its description in RNAcentral is "bacterial SSU rRNA". It matches the Rfam family "Bacterial small subunit ribosomal RNA", at positions 28 to 621 of the family's 1533-position model. The record is from RNAcentral.